CGACACUACUCAUUCUUGACCGCAUUUCAGUUUUUCAACCUUGUCUAAAAAAUAAUGAAUAGGCUACCACUAACUGAGGACACAUCCAGAAAUACCAUGAACAGGUUACCACUGACUGAGGCCACAUCCAGAAAUACCAUGAACAGGUUACCACUGACUGAGGCCACAUACAAAAAUAUCAUGAACAGGUUACCACUGACUGAGGCCACAUACAAAAAUAUCAUGAACAGGUUACCACUGACUGAGGCCACAUACAAAAAUACCAUGAACAGGGUUACCACUGACUGACACCACAUCCAGAAAUACCAUGAACAGGUUACCACUGACUGAGGCCACAUACAAAAAUAUCAUGAACAGGUUACCACUGACUGAGGCCACAUCCAGAAAUACCACGAACAGCCGGUUACCACUGACUGAGGCCACAUCCAGAAAUAUCAUGAACAGGUUACCACUGACUGAGGCCACAUACAAAAAUAUCAUGAACAGGUUACCACUGACUGAGGCCACAUACAGAAAUAUCAUGAACAGGUUACCACUGACUGAGGCCACAUACAGAAAUAUCAUGAACAGGUUACCACUGACUGAGGCCACAUCCAGAAAUACCAUGAACAGGUUACCACUGACUGAGGCCACAUCCAAAAAUAUUAUGAACAACUGGUUACCACUGACUGAGGCCACAUCCAGAAAUAUCAUGAACAGGGUUACCACUGACUGAGGCCACAUCCAGAAAUACCAUGAACAGGUUACCACUGACUGAGGUCACAUCCAGAAAUAUAAUAAACAGGUUACCACUGACUGAGGUCACAUCCAGAAAUAUAAUAAACAGGUUACCACUGACUGAGGCUACAUCCAGAAAUAUAAUGAACAGGUUACCACUGACUGAGGUCACAUCCAGAAAUAUAAUAAACAGGUUACCACUAACUGAGGCCACAUCCAGAAAUAUUAUGAACAACUGGUUGCCACUAACUGAGGCCACAUCCAGAAAUAUAAUAAACAGGUUACCACUGACUGAGGCUACAUCCAGAAAUAUUAUGAACAACUGGUUACCACUAACUGAGGCCACAUCCAGAAAUAUAAUAAACAGGUUACCACUGACUGAGGCUACACCCAGAAAUAUUAUGAACAACUGGUUACCACUAACUGAGGCCACAUCCAGAAAUACCAUGAACAGGUUACCACUGACUGAAGCCACAUCCAGAAAUAUUAUGAACAACUGGUUACCACUGACUGAGGCCACAUACAAAAAUAUUAUGAACAACAGGUUACCACUGACUGAGGCCACAUACAAAAAUAUUAUGAACAACUGGUU
RNAcentral lists this long non-coding RNA (1309 nucleotides) under Haliotis rubra (blacklip abalone). RNAcentral describes it as "uncharacterized LOC124266761, transcript variant X6". The record is from RNAcentral. Lineage: Eukaryota; Metazoa; Mollusca; Gastropoda; Lepetellida; Haliotidae.